CCCAGACUCCUACGGGAGGCAGCAGUGGGGAUAUGCACAAUGGCGCAAGCUGAUGCAGCACGCGCGUGAAGAGACGUUUUCGGAUGUAAACUUCUGUCUUAGUGAAGAAUAAUGACGGUAGCUAAGGAGCAAGCCACGGCUAACUACGUGCCAGCAGCCGCGGUAAUACGUAGGUGGCAAGCGUUGUCCGGAAUUACUGGGUGUAAAGGGAGCGUAGGCGGGAAGCCAAGUCAGCUGUGAAAACUACAGGCUUAACCUGUAGACUGCAGUUGAAACUGGUUUUCUUGAGUGAAGUAGAGGUUGGCGGAAUUCCGAGUGUAGCGGUGAAAUGCGUAGAUAUUCGGAGGAACACCGGUGGCGAAGGCGGCCAACUGGGCUUUAACUGACGCUGAGGCUCGAAAGUGUGGGGAGCAAACAGGAUUAGAUACCCUGGUAGUCCACACUGUAAACGAUGAUAACUAGGUGUGGGGGGUCUGACCCCUUCCGUGCCGCAGCUAACGCAAUAAGUUAUCCACCUGGGGAGUACGACCGCAAGGUUGAAACUCAAAGGAAUUGACGGGGACCCGCACAAGCAGUGGAUUAUGUGGUUUAAUUCGAAGCAACGCGAAGAACCUUACCAGCACUUGACAUCCUGCUAACGAAAUGGAGACAUAUUAGGUGCCCUUCGGGGAAAGCAGAGACAGGUGGUGCAUGGUUGUCGUCAGCUCGUGUCGUGAGAUGUUGGGUUAAGUCCCGCAACGAGCGCAACCCCUGCCAUUAGUUGCUACGCAAGAGCACUCUAAUGGGACCGCUACCGACAAGGUGGAGGAAGGUGGGGACGACGUCAAAUCAUCAUGCCCCUUAUGUGCUGGGCUACACACGUAAUACAAUGGCCAUCAACAAAGAGCAGCAAUACCGCGAGGUGGAGCAAAUCUCAAAAAAUGGUCUCAGUUCGGACUGUAGGCUGCAACUCGCCUACACGAAGUUGGAAUUGCUAGUAAUCGUGGAUCAGCAUGCCACGGUGAAUACGUUCCCGGGUCUUGUACACACCGCCCGUCACACCAUGGGAGCCGGUAACACCCGAAGUCAGUAGUCUAACCGCAAGGAGGACGCUGCC
This 1096-nucleotide ribosomal RNA is filed under the name uncultured bacterium. Its description in RNAcentral is "bacterial SSU rRNA". It matches the Rfam family "Bacterial small subunit ribosomal RNA", at positions 330 to 1457 of the family's 1533-position model. The record is from RNAcentral.